UAGGCUAUCUGUGUAGAGAGAAUGGAGUA
RNAcentral lists this non-coding RNA (29 nucleotides) under Rattus norvegicus (Norway rat). The record is from RNAcentral. Lineage: Eukaryota; Metazoa; Chordata; Mammalia; Rodentia; Muridae.